UUUAUCUGAUCCACUGAAAGCCUGAAUAGAAUAAAAGGCUGAGUAGGAAAGAAUUCUUUCUCUGUACCUGACUGUCUUUGAGCUGGGACAUCAGUCUUCUGCCUUCGGACUCAGAAUUGGACUGGGGCACUCUUGGCUCUCCUGGUUCUGAGACCUUUGGACUCAUACUGGAUGAUUUCAUUCACUCUCCUGGGUCUUCAGCUUGCCACCGGCAGACCAUGGACUUCUCAGCCUCUGUAAAUCAUGGCUCUUCACUUUCUCCCCUAGUGGUUACAUGGAAGCUGUAAACUGUUGGAAUUCACAUCAUCAUUGACCAGAGACUCAAACUGUAGUCAUCUGUAAAUGUUCACAUCUUUUGGACCUUUUGAGAAGAGUGUAGCAAGAUGCCUAUAACCCACAAGGAGAAAACAAGAAGACAUGUCCCAGAAGCCAUGGCUAAUUGAAAAGGGAAUCCUGAAUCCGGCAAUGCUGAGAAAAACACUCUUCUCAAAUCCAAAUUCAAGUCAAUUAAGGAAAAACCUGGUACGAGAUUAAAUGCAAGAAGUCAAGGAGUCCAACCUUGGGGACGUAGACCCUGCCUUUGUCAAGAUGAGCCCUUGGCUCCGGCGCAGGCUCAGCGG
Molecule: non-coding RNA, 620 nt
Organism: Delphinapterus leucas (beluga whale)
Lineage: Eukaryota; Metazoa; Chordata; Mammalia; Artiodactyla; Monodontidae
Source: RefSeq, a predicted model, not a curated record